UGUCUCUUUCAGCCAGUGUUUGUUUGUUUAUGAGCAGUGUUUUAGCAACCAUUUUCCUUCCUUUUGUGCGUGGAUCCCGUCGAGUACGACGGAUGCGUAGGGGUGCUAAUUUGUUUGUUUAUGAGCAGUGUUUUAGCAACCAUUUUCCUUCCUUUUGUGCGUGGAUCCCGUCGAGUACGACGGAUGCGUAGGGGUGCUAAUACCUUCCCUUCGCAUAACCGACUCCCGAUCCCAUUCUAUUUGGUCGCGAGACCAUGUCUUUUCCAGGUUUACUCUAAGCGUUUCCUUUCCCUCUUUU
This 298-nucleotide long non-coding RNA is filed under the name Lathyrus oleraceus (garden pea). RNAcentral describes it as "Pisum sativum (pea) long non-coding RNA (PSAT_LNC034170)". Lineage: Eukaryota; Viridiplantae; Streptophyta; Magnoliopsida; Fabales; Fabaceae. The record is from RNAcentral.